RNAcentral lists this transfer RNA (72 nucleotides) under Marmota marmota marmota (Alpine marmot). It matches the Rfam family "tRNA". Rfam says of the family: Transfer RNA (tRNA) molecules are approximately 80 nucleotides in length. RNAcentral also lists the same sequence under 1 other name. Lineage: Eukaryota; Metazoa; Chordata; Mammalia; Rodentia; Sciuridae. The record is from Rfam by way of RNAcentral.
UGUGUUGUAGCUCACUGGUAGAGCGCUUUUCUAGCAUGUGUGAGGCGCUGGGUUUGAUACCCGGCACCACAU